CGUGGAUGACCUUCCCAGAAAUGAGGGACAACCUGCCGAAAGGCGGGCUAAUACCGCAUAAGACCACGACGCUCUGGCGACGGGGUAAAAGUGGGCCUCUGUUUACAAGCUCAUGUUUCUGGAUGGGUCCGCGGUCCAUCAGCUAGUUGGUGAGGUAAAGGCUUACCAAGGCUACGACGGAUAGCUGGUCUGAGAGGAUGAUCAGCCACACUGGAACUGAGACACGGUCCAGACUCCUACGGGAGGCAGCAGUGGGGAAUCUUGCGCAAUGGGCGAAAGCCUGACGCAGCGACGCCGCGUGGGUGACGAAGGCCUUCGGGUUGUAAAGCCCUGUGGAACGGAACGAAAUGGGCUCGGGUGAACAUCCCGGGUUCUUGACGGUACCGUGCUAGCAAGCACCGGCUAACUCUGUGCCAGCAGCCGCGGUAAGACAGAGGGUGCAAACGUUGCUCGGAUUUACUGGGCGUAAAGCGCAUGCAGGCGGUCUGAUAAGUCGGGUGUGAAAGCCCGGGGCUCAACCCCGGAAGUGCACUCGAUACUGCCAGACUCUGGGUACUGAAGAGGAGAGCGGAAUUCCCGGUGUAGAGGUGAAAUUCGUAGAUAUCGGGAGGAACACCAGUGGCGAAGGCGGCUCUCUGGGCAGAUACCGACGCUGAGAUGCGAAAGCGUGAGGAGCAAACA
This 681-nucleotide ribosomal RNA is filed under the name uncultured bacterium. RNAcentral describes it as "bacterial SSU rRNA". It matches the Rfam family "Bacterial small subunit ribosomal RNA", at positions 116 to 774 of the family's 1533-position model. The record is from RNAcentral.